GAAACAGAACUUUCGCAAGACAAUUUACAAGGUGCUGCAUGGUUGUCGUCAGCUCGUGCCGUGAGGUGUCAGGUUAAGUCCUAUAACGAGCGCAACCCCUGUUGUUAGUUGCCAUCGAGUCAAGUCGGGAACUCUUAACAAGACUGCCAGUGUAAACUGUGAGGAAGGUGGGGAUGACGUCAAAUCAUCACGGCCCUUACGCCUUGGGCUACACACGUGCUACAAUGGACGGUACAGAGAGCAGCCACUGGGUGACCAGGAGCGAAUCUACAAAACCGUUCUCAGUUCGGAUCGGAGUCUGCAACUCGACUCCGUGAAGCUGGAAUCGCUAGUAUCGGAUAUCAGCCAUGAUCCGGUGAAUACGUUCCCGGGCCUUGUACACACCGCCCGUCAAGC
Molecule: ribosomal RNA, 396 nt
Filed under: uncultured Bacteroidota bacterium
Lineage: Bacteria; Pseudomonadati; Bacteroidota
Description: bacterial SSU rRNA
Rfam family: Bacterial small subunit ribosomal RNA
Source: RNAcentral